Molecule: ribosomal RNA, 161 nt
Filed under: uncultured bacterium
Lineage: Bacteria
Description: partial 16S ribosomal RNA
Rfam family: Bacterial small subunit ribosomal RNA
Source: RNAcentral
CGCUAGUAAUCGCGCAUCAGCCAUGGCGCGGUGAAUACGUUCCCGGGCCUUGUACACACCGCCCGUCAAGCCAUGGGAGCCGGGGGGCGCCUGAAGUCCGGGACCGCGAGGACCGGCCUAGGGCGAAACUGGUGACUGGGGCUAAGUCGUAACAAGGUAUC